UCAGACCCGGGCAGAAGUUAAAAAGCCGGGUCGAAAACGCUUCGCCCAAAGACGAGUAAUCUGAUCUAACUAAAAAGGCCGCUCUGCGGCCUUUUUUCUUUUCACUGUCGAAGAGUCACCGUAAAAUCAACGCCAUGACACUUCAGCAGAACGGAUACC
Molecule: non-coding RNA, 159 nt
Organism: Escherichia coli str. K-12 substr. MG1655
Lineage: Bacteria; Pseudomonadati; Pseudomonadota; Gammaproteobacteria; Enterobacterales; Enterobacteriaceae
Source: Rfam